RNAcentral lists this long non-coding RNA (534 nucleotides) under Elaeis guineensis (African oil palm). RNAcentral describes it as "long non-coding RNA (EGUI_LNC059895)". The record is from RNAcentral. Lineage: Eukaryota; Viridiplantae; Streptophyta; Magnoliopsida; Arecales; Arecaceae.
UCUCGAGAAGCUCCUCCCGGUACUCAUCCGAGCCACGAAAGUCCUCCACCGCCUGGCUCAGCGCCUCUUGGCUGACUCCACCUCCGCCUUCGCUAUGUCGGUGUCGGCUUGGGUGGAGGAUAAGUUCUCCUCGGCCUUAGCCAGGUUCUCCAGGCUAACCCGGAGUUGCUCGCGCUCGGCCUCGAGCUCUUUGACGUAGUCAUCCCGCUCACGCCGCAGCUGGUGAACGGAACGGAUCUUGCACUGGACUUGCUCGUGAGCUGACUGAAGUUUGGCCUCCGAGGUGGCUAGGCCAUUGGUGAGUCGAAAAAUCUCCUCCUCGAGCCUAGCCUCACGGUCGAUCGAUAGCUUCAGCUGGUCCACCAGCAUCGCCUUUUCAGCUUCGAUAGUUUCGGCCCUAUUCUUUCAGGCCGCCCCAACAUCGCCGAACCUCCGGUACCCGACCUCCAGCUUAGACAUAUUGUAGAUCAGCUGCAAGUAGAAGGCCGAUCGUCAAAAAAAUAAAAUGAUGAAAAUAAUAAUGAAGAAGGAAGA